RNAcentral lists this ribosomal RNA (465 nucleotides) under uncultured bacterium. RNAcentral describes it as "partial 16S ribosomal RNA". It matches the Rfam family "Bacterial small subunit ribosomal RNA", at positions 28 to 507 of the family's 1533-position model. The record is from RNAcentral.
GACGAACGCUGGCGGCGUGCUUAACACAUGCAAGUCGAACGGAAAGGCCCCUUUGGGGGUACUCGAGUGGCGCACGGGUGAGUAACACGUGAGUAACCUGCCCUUGACUUCGGGAUAACUUCAGGAAACUGGGGCUAAUACCGGAUAGGAAUCCUUGCUGCAUGGUGGGGGUUGGAAAGCUUCGGCGGUUUUGGAUGGACUCGCGGCUUAUCAGCUUGUUGGUGGGGUAGUGGCUUACCAAGGCUUUGACGGGUAGCCGGCCUGGGAGGGCGACCGGCCACAGUGGAACUGAGAUACGGCCCAGACUCCUACGGGAGGCAGCAGUGGGGAAUAUUGCACAAUGGGCAGACGCCUGAUGCAGCAACGCCGCGUGCGGGAUGACGGCCUUCGGGUUGUAAACCGCUUUCAGCAGGGGCGAAGCUUGUGGUGACGGUACCUGCAGAAGAAGCACCGGCUAACUACGUG